UCCGGCUUAUCACCGGCGGUUUCUUUAGAGUGCCCAACUAAAUGAUGGCAACUAAAGACGAGGGUUGCGCUCGUUGCGGGACUUAACCCAACAUCUCACGACACGAGCUGACGACAGCCAUGCAGCACCUGUGUUACGGUUCCCUUUCGGGCACUCUCCCAUCUCUGGGAGAUUCCGUACAAGUCAAGGGUAGGUAAGGUUUUUCGCGUUGCAUCGAAUUAAACCACAUGCUCCACCGCUUGUGCGGGCCCCCGUCAAUUCCUUUGAGUUUCAGCCUUGCGGCCGUACUCCCCAGGCGGGGUACUUACUGCGUUAGCGACGGCACAGGGGGUCGAUACCCCAUACUAAUAGUAUGCAUCGUUUACGGCGUGGACUAC
Molecule: unclassified non-coding RNA, 377 nt
Filed under: uncultured bacterium
Lineage: Bacteria
Description: contains 16S-23S intergenic spacer region
Source: RNAcentral